Molecule: ribosomal RNA, 251 nt
Filed under: uncultured bacterium
Lineage: Bacteria
Description: partial 16S ribosomal RNA
Rfam family: Bacterial small subunit ribosomal RNA
Source: RNAcentral
UAGGGAAUCUUCCACAAUGGACGCAAGUCUGAUGGAGCAACGCCGCGUGAGUGAAGAAGGUUUUCGGACCGUAAAGCUCUGUUGUUGGUGAAGAAGGAUAGAGGUAGUAACUGGCCUUUAUUUGACGGUAAUCAACCAGAAAGUCACGGCUAACUACGUGCCAGCAGCCGCGGUAAUACGUAGGUGGCAAGCGUUAUCCGGAUUUAUUGGGCGUAAAGCGAGCGCAGGCGGUUUUUUAAGUCUGAUGUGAA